AAUGGGCGAAAGCCUGAUGCAGCAACGCCGCGUGUGUGAUGAAGGCCUUCGGGUCGUAAAGCACUUUUCUGGGAGAUGAGAAAGGACAGUAUCCCAGGAAUAAGUCUCGGCUAACUACGUGCCAGCAGCCGCGGUAAAACGUAGGAGGCAAGCGUUAUCCGGAUUCACUGGGCGUAAAGCGCGUGCAGGCGGUGCGGUAAGUUAGGCGUGAAAUCUCCCGGCUCAACUGGGAGAGGUCGUCUAAUACUACCGUACUCGAGAGCAGAAGAGGAAGAUGGAAUUCCCGGUGUAGUGGUGAAAUGCGUAGAUAUCGGGAGGAACACCAGUGGCGAAGGCGAUCUUCUGGUCUGUUUCUGACGCUCAGACGCGACAGCUAGGGUAGUAAACGGGAUUAGAGACCCCGGUAAUCCUAGCCGUAAACGAUGUGAACUUGGCGUUGGUGGGUUAAACUCCAUCAGUGCCGUAGCAAACGCGAUAAGUUCACCGCCUGGGGACUACGGCCGCAAGGUUA
RNAcentral lists this ribosomal RNA (511 nucleotides) under uncultured Chloroflexota bacterium. RNAcentral's name for it is "bacterial SSU rRNA". It matches the Rfam family "Bacterial small subunit ribosomal RNA", at positions 370 to 896 of the family's 1533-position model. The record is from RNAcentral. Lineage: Bacteria; Bacillati; Chloroflexota.